RNAcentral lists this ribosomal RNA (383 nucleotides) under uncultured eukaryote. RNAcentral's name for it is "partial 18S ribosomal RNA". It matches the Rfam family "Eukaryotic small subunit ribosomal RNA", at positions 592 to 976 of the family's 1831-position model. The record is from RNAcentral.
CAAUAGCGUAUAUUAAAGUUGUUGCGGUUAAAAAGCUCGUAGUUGGAUCUCGGCAGGCAGGGGGUGGUUCGCUCUUAGCGCUACUGCCCCAUUUGCCUGUGUGAUUGGCGGAGGUUUCGGGGUGCUCUUCGUUGAGUGACCCGGGGCGCCGUCAGGUUUACUUUGAAAAAAUUAGAGUGCUCAAAGCAGGCUUUUCACGCUUGAAUAUUCGUGCAUGGAAUAAUGGAAUAGGAACUCGUUUCUAUUUUGUUGGUUUUCGGAAAUCGAGUUAAUGAUUAAUAGGGACAAUUGGGGGCAUUAGUAUUCAGACGACAGAGGUGAAAUUCUUGGACCGUCUGAAGACUAACUACUGCGAAAGCAUCUGCCAAGAGUGUUUUCAUUAA